This 537-nucleotide long non-coding RNA is filed under the name Gouania willdenowi (blunt-snouted clingfish). Its description in RNAcentral is "lncRNA (ENSGWIG00000019991.1)". Lineage: Eukaryota; Metazoa; Chordata; Actinopteri; Blenniiformes; Gobiesocidae. The record is from RNAcentral.
CUCUACUUUCCUGCACGCGCAUCAUGGAACAUAACAAGGUCACAUCAGGUCGCAUUGAUAUAUGUCUAUGGGUCAGGGCUGAGUGAUUAACCCAGCGGAAGUGGAAAAUCCAGCUCUAAUAUGAGUGCUUAAGAAUUCAACAUCUGCCAUCGUCUGUCACCAUGGAAACCUGAUGAACUGAGGUGGACAGUGAUGGAGAGUGAGUGAGGAAGAGGAAAAGGAGGCGGAAGGAAGGAAUGAUCCUCUCUGUAGCUGGAUAAGCGUGCCCCGAGACCUUGAACGUUACAAUAAUCAACUAAGAUAAGUAAAAACAAAUUAUUAAUCCAUAUAUUGCUAGAAAUUUAACUCAUUUUUUUUCUUUUCUAUGACAAAUCUCUGAGGGUCUGAAGCUGCAGUUCCUUGAGCAUCAGGAAAUGAACAAUGUUUCUCUGGUCUCUACGUACCCCAGAUUCUAAUAUAAGGUAAGAUGACGGUUUUCCGACACAGCGUACAUUUGUGUAUUUUCUGAUAGUGAAAGCUCAAUGAUGGAUUUCUUUU